UCCACUUCUACUAUAUUAGAUGACCUCGCAUGUUAUUUUCUUCAUUUAAUGUUAAAUUCACCCGUGGAGUCAUUUAAAUCCUAAAGCUAGGGCCUAAUUUGACUGUAAUGAAAAACAACUAUUAUCAAUUUUAGGUGCUGUGCGUGCAUAAAGACUGGGCAGUUCCAUUAAACCCAGGUCAAACAGAGAUCAACUAGGGAGUCCGAGAGGCCUGGUUAGUAAACGGACCAACGGUGACAUCCUCUGGACAAAGUAUUUCCAGUAGUCUAGUGCUCUCAAGAAAUGAAUGUUGUGCAGAGACAGUCACCGUUGCUGAGGUAUCUCAUCUGUGGACAGGAUCAGAGUGAUGGUGUGGCUGGGUGGCAGGAUGGUGGUCCCUCCCUGACUAGUAAACCCGAACAGGAAGCGCAGACCCCCUAUUAGCAGAGCCAAAUAAGAGGGAUCUCCAAGGCUGGCAGCGAGAGGAAUGAGAGAUGCACGUUAUGGGUCAUUAUCCUGUUGAAGAGGCCGUGACCUGCGACUGAGACGGAGCUCUGACACUGGGUAGUUUGUUUCUCUCCAGAAUGCCUCAAUAAUUGCCAUUAAAACACCACCAAAACAUAACUGAGUCUCCUCUGUGUGAGCCGAUGUGACUUAGCAAAAAGCCAAGCGGUCCGCAGUCCAUUUUUGCACACAUCGGACUGUGGGAUCUGCCACAUGAACACACUACAGCCACAAGAAAAACACUGUCCCAUUAAGACCGGAGACCUUAGUUAUACCUACU
Molecule: long non-coding RNA, 763 nt
Organism: Monopterus albus (swamp eel)
Lineage: Eukaryota; Metazoa; Chordata; Actinopteri; Synbranchiformes; Synbranchidae
Exons: 3
Source: RefSeq, a predicted model, not a curated record